UUUUAACAUGAGAGUUUGAUCCUAGCUCAGGAUGAACGCUGGCGGCGUGCCUAACACAUGCAAGUCGAACGGACUUACAUUGAAG
Molecule: ribosomal RNA, 85 nt
Filed under: Lachnospiraceae bacterium
Lineage: Bacteria; Bacillati; Bacillota; Clostridia; Lachnospirales; Lachnospiraceae
Description: partial 16S ribosomal RNA
Rfam family: Bacterial small subunit ribosomal RNA
Source: RNAcentral